Vespula vulgaris is the source of this 2158-nucleotide long non-coding RNA. RefSeq lists it as uncharacterized. The transcript has 2 exons. The record is from RefSeq and is a predicted model, not a curated record. NCBI's taxonomy places the organism in Eukaryota, Metazoa, Arthropoda, Insecta, Hymenoptera, Vespidae.
CAUAAAAACAACUAAACUAACUACAAUGAUGGAAAUAAGUAACUGAAUCUUUCAAGUUUGCUUUAAAAUCCUGUUCAAAAUUUUGUAUACUCUGUUUCACAAUCAGGAAAAAUAUUACACAUCUUGUAUUACUACCAACGAUAAUUUUAUUUGCAUAAUUGCACGUCAAAUUUUAUUAUCGUUGAAUAUAAUUAUGAGUUAAAAACGUUCACGACUUUUAUUUUAUAAUAGUUUACACCAAGAAAAAAUCUAAUCGUAAUUCUUGAGCGGAUUUUGUUAAACAAGAUCUUAUUUCAAUUACGAGGGUUUCAGUCACCGAUUAAUAACUUUUUUGAAUUUUAUAAAAAGCUUUGUUUUCUUCGGGAAAAAAAACAAAAUAUCAUGUUGAAAAGUUAAAAUUGAUAUUUUGUAAAUUCUCAGGUCACGUGAUCUUGGCCAAUCAUAACACAUUUUAUAUCAUCAUAUUUAACCUAGAGGUCACUGUAUGUCGUGUUCUCUAAUAUUACGUUAUAAUCGAUCGAAAGAGUACGCACGUAUACGUGUUCGGAGUGAUAUUUUAAUCUUAAUAAAUUUCGUAGUUUAACAAUUUAUCUCAUUUAAGUAUAAUCUUAUUUAAGUAUGACUAUCAAGUAAUAUAAAUUAUUCAAGUAUAACUAUCAGACGACGAGAUGGUGUGCAGUUCAUUUAUUUAUUCCUGAGAAAAUAAUGGUAAGUAAUAGGUUAGAUAUUACAUUUUUCGAUAAAGAAUUAAAAACUAUCUAAUUCUAAACGAUAUUGUAUAUUUGGACGUUAACAAUUCUCAACAAAAUGGAUAAGAUUAGUAAAUUUCGAGAUUUUUACAAGUAGAAUAUAUAAAAGUAUUAAUAAACUCCAAUCUGAAUAUAUCAUAACCUCAUAUCGUGGAUUAUAUAUUAUUUUAUAUAUUAUUUAUGGUAAUAUCCAUCGAUGGGCUAAUAAUAAUAAAUUAUCAGCAAAAAAUGAAUGUAGAAAAAUUAAAAUUUUAUUCGCCAUUUAAAAGUUAUUCUUCUUUGAGUCAUACCAGAUUUGUUAGAACGUUUCUCAAUAUCAUUGAUUAACAAAGCUUAAUUAUCAGUUUGUGGUUGUUUUAUUAUUUUAAAUCUGCUAAAGAUUCGAUACUAGGCUUAGUUUAAGAAUAGGUAAAUAAUAAUAGUAAUAACUGCAAUAAUAAAAUAAUAAAAAUAAUAAUUAUAACUAUAACUACGGUAAUAAUAGUAAUAUACGUCUGGAAGAUGAUAGGAAAUAAUGAAAAUAUAAUACAUUAUUGCACUUUUUAUUAAAAAAUAAUAAUUUGAGAACUUCUUUUUUACAAAUUGUUACAUUAUAAAGUUAUUCAUCAAAAACAAUUAUCAAUAACAAUUAAAGAAAGUUAUUUUCGAGAAGUCUAUCAUAAUAUUACACAUAUUAAAAGUAAUGUUUUUUAUGUAACAUCUAAAAUAUAAUCUUUGUGCUAUGUGAUAGUUUGGAAAAAAAAACAGCAAUUUCCAUCAUAUUCUAUUUCUCAUAGAUAUGUUAGAUUCAGAUAUUUGUCUCCUAUAUUUUUUUUUUUUUUUUUUUUGUUAAUAUAAAUAAAUUGGGUUUAUAGAAAUUGGAGGUAUAGAAGAGGAAAGGGGAGCGUAACACGUCUAACUCAAACUUUAUCGACCUAUUUUUCAGGAAAACCAUGAUUAUUAUUAAUCGUCACAAUAGAUCCGGAACAGCAUUUAUGAAAUGGGUUUGAAGAAUAACAUUAUUACAUUUAUUUAGUUAUUUUUGUAUCAUAUCGAUAUAUGAAAUUUAAAUAUUUUAUACGAUUUGUUUAGUUUUUAAUCAUUUAAAAAAUAAUAUUUUGUUUAUCAUUUACAGAAACAAUAUCUUCUAUAAAAUCAUAAAAAUAAAUUUGAUGGAUAAAUGAUACAAUCGGCACGUCACUUGGACAUUUUUUUUUACAUGGGAUAAAAAAUACACUAUUAAAAAACUUUGAUCGAAUUUACGUAUUGAUUUGUUGUAAUUUAAACGAAAGAUAAAAAUAAAAACAGGGAAAGGAGAAGAAGUCAAGGCCAUCAGCUCAACUAGAAGUGCAAGUAUAAUUAAAAAUAAAAAUAAAAAAAACAUUAUGUAUAUAGUAUAGGGAAAUAAAAAGAAAUUUGGACGAAAGCUA